This 253-nucleotide ribosomal RNA is filed under the name uncultured bacterium. RNAcentral describes it as "partial 16S ribosomal RNA". It matches the Rfam family "Bacterial small subunit ribosomal RNA", at positions 524 to 776 of the family's 1533-position model. The record is from RNAcentral. RNAcentral also lists the same sequence under 1 other name.
UACGUAGGGGGCAAGCGUUGUCCGGAAUCAUUGGGCGUAAAGAGCGUGUAGGCGGCCAGAUAAGUCCGCUGUGAAAACUCGAGGCUCAACUUCGAGCUGUCGGUGGAAACUAUUUGGCUAGAGUCCGGAAGAGGAGAGUGGAAUUCCUGGUGUAGCGGUGAAAUGCGCAGAUAUCAGGAAGAACACCCGUGGCGAAGGCGGCUCUCUGGUACGGAACUGACGCUGAGACGCGAAAGCGUGGGGAGCGAACAGG